RNAcentral lists this transfer RNA (79 nucleotides) under Mycoplasmopsis bovis. Its description in RNAcentral is "Mycoplasma bovis tRNA-Pro". It matches the Rfam family "tRNA". Rfam says of the family: Transfer RNA (tRNA) molecules are approximately 80 nucleotides in length. Their secondary structure includes four short double-helical elements and three loops (D, anti-codon, and T loops). The record is from RNAcentral. Lineage: Bacteria; Bacillati; Mycoplasmatota; Mycoplasmoidales; Metamycoplasmataceae.
GGAGAAGUAGGCUCAGGCUUGGCAGAGCGCUACGUUUGGGACGUAGUGGUCGCAGGUUCAAAUCCUGUCUUCUUCACCA